AUGGCUGUGUUGGCUGGAGAGAGGGUCACUAUGAGCUGCAAGUCCAGUCAGAAUCUUUUAUACAGUUCAAACCAAAAGAACUACUUGGCCUGGUACCAGCAGAAACCAGGACAGUCUCCUAAACUUCUGAUAUACUGGGCAUCCACUAGAGAAUCUGGGGUCCCCAAUCGCUUCACAGGCAGUGGAUCUGGGACAGAUUUCACUCUCACUAUCAACAGUGUGCAGGCUGAAGACCUGGCAGUUUAUUACUGUCUGCAAUAUUACAAUUUUCCCACAGUGUUUCAGCCUCCUACAAAAACCUCCUUGAGAGUCUCAUCAGCUGCCUGCGUAACACAAUGCCCUAGAUCUGCACAUUUCCUCCUUCUACAUGAGAGCCAGCAUGCCUGA
Grammomys surdaster is the source of this 387-nucleotide non-coding RNA. The record is from the annotation of a RefSeq genome assembly. Lineage: Eukaryota; Metazoa; Chordata; Mammalia; Rodentia; Muridae.